RNAcentral lists this ribosomal RNA (354 nucleotides) under Nemichthys scolopaceus (slender snipe eel). Its description in RNAcentral is "partial 12S ribosomal RNA". It matches the Rfam family "Bacterial small subunit ribosomal RNA", at positions 804 to 1360 of the family's 1533-position model. The record is from RNAcentral. Lineage: Eukaryota; Metazoa; Chordata; Actinopteri; Anguilliformes; Nemichthyidae.
AAACGACGACGGCCAUAUACCAGGGCCGUCCGCCAGGGGACUACGAGCAACAGCUUAAAACCCAAAGGACUUGGCGGUGCUUCAAACCCACCUAGAGGAGCCUGUUUUAUAACCGAUAAUCCUCGUUAAACCUCACCACACCUUGCCAAUACCCGCCUAUAUACCGCCGUCGUCAGCUUACCUCCUGAGAGGACUAUAGUAAGCCAAAGGGGCUACGCCCAGCACGUCAGGUCGAGGUGUAGCGAAUGGUGUGGGACAAAAUGGGCUACAUUUUCUGGUUCAGAAAACACGGAAAACGCCAUGAAAAACGCAACUGAAGGUGGAUUCAGCAGUAAAGGGGGAGUAGAGUGCCCC